Molecule: ribosomal RNA, 407 nt
Filed under: uncultured bacterium
Lineage: Bacteria
Description: partial 16S ribosomal RNA
Rfam family: Bacterial small subunit ribosomal RNA
Source: RNAcentral
AUUGAACGCUAGCGGGAUGCUUUACACAUGCAAGUCGAACGGAGUGGCGGACGGGUGAGUAAUAUAUCGGAACGUGCCCAGUAGCGGGGGAUAACUACUCGACAGAGUGGCUAAUACCGGAUACUAUUGGAGCGGCCGAUAUCGGAUUAGCUAGUUGGUGGGGUAAGGGCACACCAAGGCAACGAUCUGUAGCUGGUUUGAGAGGACGACAAGCGACACGGUGACUGAGACACGGCCCAGACUCCUACGGGAGGCAGCAGUGGGGAAUUUUGGACAAUGGGGGAAACCCUGAUCCAGCCAUCCCGCGUGUAUGAUGAAGGCCUGCGGGUUGUAAAGUACUUUUGGCAGAGAAGCGGUAUCUGCAGAAGAAGCACCGGCUAACUACGUGCCAGCAGCCGCGGUAAUUC